Molecule: ribosomal RNA, 510 nt
Filed under: uncultured bacterium
Lineage: Bacteria
Description: partial 16S ribosomal RNA
Rfam family: Bacterial small subunit ribosomal RNA
Source: RNAcentral
GACGAACGCUGGCGGCGUGCUUAACACAUGCAAGUCGAACGAAGAGCGAUGGAAGCUUGCUUCUAUCAAUCUUAGUGGCGAACGGGUGAGUAACGCGUAAUCAACCUGCCCUUCAGAGGGGGACAACAGUUGGAAACGACUGCUAAUACCGCAUACGAUCUAAUCUCGGCAUCGAGGAUAGAUGAAAGGUGGCCUCUACAUGUCAGCUAUCACUGAAGGAGGGGAUUGCGUCUGAUUAGCUAGUUGGAGGGGGAACGGCCCACCAAGGCGAUGAGCAGUCACCGGUCCGAGAGGAUGAACGGCCACAUGGGGACUGGAACACGGCCCAGACUCCUACGGGAGGCAGCAGGGGGGAAUCUUCCGCAAUGGACGAAAGUCUGACGGAGCAACGCCGCGUGAGGGAUGACGGCCUUCGGGUUGUAAAGCUCUGUUAAUCGGGACGAAAGGCCUUCUUGCGAAUAGUGAGAAGGAUUGACGGUACCGGAAUAGAAAGCCACGGCUAACUACGUG